GUGAAUCAUCGAAUUUUUGAACGCAAAUUGCACUCUCUGGCAUUCCGGAGAGUAUGCCUGUUUGAGGGUCAGUUUAAAUAAAAACCGGGGGGUUCCUUUUUGUUGCCCCUCGGAAUUUGGGUAUCUUUUGCCUUUUUAAAAGGUUAAAUUAACUUAAAUUUAUACCUUUGUCAACUCAAGCCUACAUAA
Molecule: unclassified non-coding RNA, 189 nt
Filed under: Glomeraceae sp.
Lineage: Eukaryota; Fungi; Glomeromycota; Glomeromycetes; Glomerales; Glomeraceae
Description: partial contains 5.8S ribosomal RNA and internal transcribed spacer 2
Rfam family: 5.8S ribosomal RNA (bases 1-71)
Source: RNAcentral